Molecule: transfer RNA, 73 nt
Filed under: Stegodyphus mimosarum
Lineage: Eukaryota; Metazoa; Arthropoda; Arachnida; Araneae; Eresidae
Rfam family: tRNA
About the family: Transfer RNA (tRNA) molecules are approximately 80 nucleotides in length. Their secondary structure includes four short double-helical elements and three loops (D, anti-codon, and T loops).
Source: Rfam by way of RNAcentral
GCCUUCGUAGUGUAGUGGUCAGCACGCUCGAUGCGUAACCGAGAGGUCCAUGGUUCGAUUCCCGGCGAAGGGG